GCCACUAGCGAAGACCAGGGAGAGAGAGAGAGAUGCCUAGUGAGCCCCAGUCUCUGCACCCCAGCUGAAGCCCCAGACAUCAUGUGGGGCAGAGAUGUCAUCCCUCCAAGCCCAGUCCAAAUUUCAUAUUGGAGAGAAAAAGGAAUGAUUAUUGUAUUUUCAAACACUAAGUUUUGGCGUGGUGUAUAGCACAGCGAUAGGUAACCAGAAUAUCAGCUUGAUAUAAGACAACCGGGUUCUCAUAUCUGCUUCUGCACUGAGAUGUUUCAGUAUCACAUGCUAUGUAACCUCUAGAAAACUUCACUGCACACUUGAGGGAGAAUGAGCCUGCUCGAGCUUCUCCGUGGCCUGUGAGUCGGCAGUGGCCUUUCCCACUCAGUCUUUGCAGAGGAAAGAGAAGCAGGAAGGGAAAGAGAGAACAGGGGGAAGUCGAAUUUAGAUAAAGUCUGCCACAUUUUUCUUAAGAGGAAACUGGACAAGCUGUUUGUAAAGGCACCCAUGACAGGACACCUUCUGCAGUCUUAUGGAUAUUAUGAUGG
Orcinus orca (killer whale) is the source of this 539-nucleotide long non-coding RNA. RefSeq lists it as uncharacterized. NCBI's taxonomy places the organism in Eukaryota, Metazoa, Chordata, Mammalia, Artiodactyla, Delphinidae. The record is from RefSeq and is a predicted model, not a curated record. The transcript has 4 exons.